GUUUUUGCUCUGGUAGCAUGUACUAAAAUUGGAAUGACAAGAGAUUAUUAACAUGGCCCCUGAAGAAGGAUGACAUGCAAAUUUGGGAACUGUUCCAAAAUAGA
Small nuclear RNA from Jaculus jaculus (lesser Egyptian jerboa), 104 nucleotides. NCBI's taxonomy places the organism in Eukaryota, Metazoa, Chordata, Mammalia, Rodentia, Dipodidae. The record is from Ensembl.